Molecule: ribosomal RNA, 490 nt
Filed under: uncultured bacterium
Lineage: Bacteria
Description: partial 16S ribosomal RNA
Rfam family: Bacterial small subunit ribosomal RNA
Source: RNAcentral
GAUGAACGCUAGCUACAGGCUUAACACAUGCAAGUCGCGGGGCAGCAUGGGGGUUGCUUGCAAUCCCCGAUGGCGACCGGCGCACGGGUGAGUAACGCGUAUCCAACCUGCCCUUCACCACGGGAUAACCCGGCGAAAGUCGGACUAAUACCGUAUGUCGUCCAUUGACGGCAUCCGAUUUGGACGAAAGGUUUGGCGGUGAAGGCGGGGGAUGCGUGCGAUUGGCUGGACGGCGGGGUGACGGCCCACCGUGGCGACGAUCGGUAGGGGUUCUGAGGGGAGGGUCCCUCAGACUGGAACCGGGACACGGUCCAGACACCUACGGGAGGCAGCAGUGAGGAAGAUUGGUCAAGGGACGUAAGCCUGAACCAGCCAAGUAGCGUGCAGGAAGGCGGCCCUAGGGGUUGUAAACUGCUUUUAUGCGGGGAUAAAGUGGCCCACGUGUGGGUUUUUGCAGGUACCGCAUGAAUAAGGACCGGCUAAUUCCGUG